This 812-nucleotide long non-coding RNA is filed under the name Nicotiana tabacum (common tobacco). RNAcentral describes it as "long non-coding RNA (NTAB_LNC003877)". The record is from RNAcentral. Lineage: Eukaryota; Viridiplantae; Streptophyta; Magnoliopsida; Solanales; Solanaceae.
GGGAUUAGAGCCCUAAUGUUGGAAAAAAAGGCGACUAGGGAAUGGAGACCCUAUGUCUAAAAAUCUCAACUCAGUGAUUGGAGCCCUAAUGUUGGCAAAAAGGCGACUAGGGAAUGGAGGUCCUAUGUCUAAAAAUCUCAAUUCAGGGGUUGGAACCCUAAUGUUGGCAAAAAGGUGACUAGGGAAUGGAGGCCCUAUGUCUAAAAAUCUCAACUCAAGGAUUGGAGCCCUAAUGUUGGCAUAAAGUCAACUACGGAAUGGAGGCCCUAAGUCUAAAAUUCUCAACUCAGGGAUUGGAGCCCUAAUGUUGACAAAAAGGCGAUUAGGGAAUGAAGGCCCUAUGUCUAAAAAUCUCAACUCAUGGGUUGGAGCCCUAAUGUUGGCAAAAAGUCGACUGGGGAAUGGAGGCCCUAUGUCUAAAAAUCUCAACUCAAGGAUUGAAGCCCUAAUGUUGGUAAAAAAGGCGAGUAGAGAAUAGAGGCCCAAUGUCUAAAAAUCUCAACUCAGGGAUUGGACCCCUAAUGUUGGCAAAAGGCGACUAGGGAAUGGAGGCCCUAUGUGUUUAAAAAUCUCAACUCAGGGACUGAAGCCCUAAUGUUGACAAUAAAGACGACUAGGAAAUGGAGGUCCUAUGUUUAAAAAUCUCAACUCAGGGAUUGAAGCCCUAAUAUUGACAAAAAAGGCUACUAGGAAAUGGAGGCCCUAAGUCUAAAAAUCUCAACCCAGGGGUUGGAGUCCUAAUAUUAGCAUAAAGCCGACUAGGGAAUGGUGGCUCUAAGUCUAAAAAUCUCAACUCAGGGAUUGAAACCCUA